AUUGAACGCUGGCGGCAGGCCUAACACAUGCAAGUCGAACGAGUGGCGGACGGGUGAGUAAUGUCUGGGAAACUGCCUGAUGGAGGGAGAUAACUACUGGAACCGGUGGCUAAUACCGCAUACCAUCAGAUGUGCCCAGGGGGGAUUAGCUUGUUGGUGGGGUAACGGCUCCCCAAGGCGACGAUCCCUAGCUGGUCUGAGAGGAUGACCAGCCACACUGGAACUGAGACACGGCCCAGACUCCUACGGGAGGCAGCAGUGGGGAAUAUUGCACAAUGGGCGAAAGCCUGAUGCAGCAACGCCGCGUGUAUGAAGAAGGCUUUCGGGUUGUAAAGUACUUUCAGCGGGGAGGCGUUACCCGAAGAAGAAGCACCGGCUAACUCCGUGCCAGCAGCCGCGGUAAUUC
RNAcentral lists this ribosomal RNA (406 nucleotides) under uncultured bacterium. RNAcentral describes it as "partial 16S ribosomal RNA". It matches the Rfam family "Bacterial small subunit ribosomal RNA", at positions 30 to 526 of the family's 1533-position model. The record is from RNAcentral.